GCCGAGAUGGUGUAAUUGGUAGCCACGCUGGUCUUAGAAACCAGUGCCGUGAGGCAUGCGAGUUCGAGUCUCGCUCUCGGCA
RNAcentral lists this transfer RNA (82 nucleotides) under Pyrinomonadaceae bacterium. RNAcentral describes it as "tRNA-Leu". It matches the Rfam family "tRNA". From Rfam's summary of the family: Transfer RNA (tRNA) molecules are approximately 80 nucleotides in length. The record is from RNAcentral. Lineage: Bacteria; Pseudomonadati; Acidobacteriota; Blastocatellia; Blastocatellales; Pyrinomonadaceae.